This 42-nucleotide ribosomal RNA is filed under the name Hyphoderma macaronesicum. RNAcentral describes it as "partial 28S ribosomal RNA". The record is from RNAcentral. Lineage: Eukaryota; Fungi; Basidiomycota; Agaricomycetes; Polyporales; Hyphodermataceae. RNAcentral also lists the same sequence under 1 other name.
AAAUCAGGUAGGACUACCCGCUGAACUUAAGCAUAUCAAUAA